Molecule: ribosomal RNA, 836 nt
Filed under: uncultured bacterium
Lineage: Bacteria
Description: bacterial SSU rRNA
Rfam family: Bacterial small subunit ribosomal RNA
Source: RNAcentral
ACACAUGCAAGUCGAGGGGCAGCAUGAUUUGUAGCAAUACAGAUUGAUGGCGACCGGCGCACGGGUGAGUAACGCGUAUGCAACUUACCUAUCAGAGGGGGAUAGCCCGGCGAAAGUCGGAUUAAUACCCCAUAAAACAGGGGUCCCGCAUGGGAAUAUUUGUUAAAGAUUCAUCGCUGAUAGAUAGGCAUGCGUUCCAUUAGGCAGUUGGCGGGGUAACGGCCCACCAAACCGACGAUGGAUAGGGGUUCUGAGAGGAAGGUCCCCCACAUUGGUACUGAGACACGGACCAAACUCCUACGGGAGGCAGCAGUGAGGAAUAUUGGUCAAUGGCCGAGAGGCUGAACCAGCCAAGUCGCGUGAAGGAAGAAGGAUCUAUGGUUUGUAAACUUCUUUUAUAGGGGAAUAAAGUGGAGGACGUGUCCUUUUUUGUAUGUACCCUAUGAAUAAGCAUCGGCUAACUCCGUGCCAGCAGCCGCGGUAAUACGGAGGAUGCGAGCGUUAUCCGGAUUUAUUGGGUUUAAAGGGUGCGUAGGUGGUGAUUUAAGUCAGCGGUGAAAGUUUGUGGCUCAACCAUAAAAUUGCCGUUGAAACUGGGUUACUUGAGUGUGUUUGAGGUAGGCGGAAUGCGUGGUGUAGCGGUGAAAUGCAUAGAUAUCACGCAGAACUCCGAUUGCGAUGGCAGCUUACUAAACCAUAACUGACACUGAAGCACGAAAGCGUGGGGAUCAAACAGGAUUAGAUACCCUGGUAGUCCACGCAGUAGACGAUGAUUACUAGGAGUUUGCGAUACAAUGUAAGCUCUACAGCGAAAGCGUUAAGUAAUCCACCUGGGG